CCGCAUACGUCCUACGGGAGAAAGUGGGGGCUCUUCGGACCUCACGCUAUCGGAUGAGCCUAGGUCGGAUUAGCUAGUUGGUGGGGUAAAGGCCCACCAAGGCGACGAUCCGUAACUGGUCUGAGAGGAUGAUCAGUCACACUGGAACUGAGACACGGUCCAGACUCCUACGGGAGGCAGCAGUGGGGAAUAUUGGACAAUGGGCGAAAGCCUGAUCCAGCCAUGCCGCGUGUGUGAAGAAGGUCUUCGGAUUGUAAAGCACUUUAAGUUGGGAGGAAGGGCUGUAAGUUAAUACCUUGCAGUUUUGACGUUACCGACAGAAUAAGCACCGGCUAACUUCGUGCCAGCAGCCGCGGUAAUACGAAGGGUGCAAGCGUUAAUCGGAAUUACUGGGCGUAAAGCGCGCGUAGGUGGUUUGGUAAGUUGGAUGUGAAAGCCCCGGGCUCAACCUGGGAACUGCAUCCAAAACUGCCUGACUAGAGUACGGUAGAGGGUGGUGGAAUUUCCUGUGUAGCGGUGAAAUGCGUAGAUAUAGGAAGGAACACCAGUGGCGAAGGCGACCACCUGGACUGAUACUGACACUGAGGUGCGAAAGCGUGGGGAGCAAACAGGAUUAGAUACCCUGGUAGUCCACGCCGUAAACGAUGUCGACUAGCCGUUGGGCUCCUUGAGAGCUUAGUGGCGCAGCUAACGCAUUAAGUCGACCGCCUGGGGAGUACGGCCGCAAGGUU
RNAcentral lists this ribosomal RNA (731 nucleotides) under Azotobacter beijerinckii. RNAcentral's name for it is "bacterial SSU rRNA". It matches the Rfam family "Bacterial small subunit ribosomal RNA", at positions 169 to 895 of the family's 1533-position model. Lineage: Bacteria; Pseudomonadati; Pseudomonadota; Gammaproteobacteria; Pseudomonadales; Pseudomonadaceae. The record is from RNAcentral.